UAGGGAACCUUCGGCAAUGGACGGAAGUCUGACCGAGCAACGCCGCGUGAGUGAAGAAGGUUUUCGGAUCGUAAAGCUCUGUUGUAAGAGAAGAACGAGUGUGAGAGUGGAAAGUUCACACUGUGACGGUAUCUUACCAGAAAGGGACGGCUAACUACGUGCCAGCAGCCGCGGUAAUACGUAGGUCCCGAGCGUUGUCCGGAUUUAUUGGGCGUAAAGCGAGCGCAGGCGGUUAGAUAAGUCUGAAGUUAAAGGCUGUGGCUUAACCAUAGUAGGCUUUGGAAACUGUUUAACUUGAGUGCAAGAGGGGAGAGUGGAAUUCCAUGUGUAGCGGUGAAAUGCGUAGAUAUAUGGAGGAACACCGGUGGCGAAAGCGGCUCUCUGGCUUGUAACUGACGCUGAGGCUCGAAAGCGUGGGGAGCAAACAGGAUUAGAUACCCUGGUAGUCCACGCUGUAAACGAUGAGUGCUAGGUGUUAGACCCUUUCCGGGGUUUAGUGCCGUAGCUAACGCAUUAAGCACUCCGCCUGGGGAGUACGACCGCAAGGUUG
This 550-nucleotide ribosomal RNA is filed under the name uncultured bacterium. Its description in RNAcentral is "bacterial SSU rRNA". It matches the Rfam family "Bacterial small subunit ribosomal RNA", at positions 355 to 896 of the family's 1533-position model. The record is from RNAcentral.